UACGUAGGGGGCGAGCGUUGUCCGGAUUUACUGGGCGUAAAGGGUGAGUAGGCGGUUGUAUAUGUCAGGUGUAAAAGGCUAUGGCUUAACCAUGGUUAGCACUUGAAACUGUACAACUUGAGUGCAGGAGAGGUAAGUGGAAUUCCUAGUGUAGCGGUGAAAUGCGUAGAUAUUAGGAGGAACACCAGUGGCGAAGGCGACUCACUGGACUGUAACUGACGCUGAGUCACGAAAGCGUGGGUAGCAAACAGGAUUAGAUACCCUGGUAGU
RNAcentral lists this ribosomal RNA (270 nucleotides) under uncultured prokaryote. RNAcentral's name for it is "partial 16S ribosomal RNA". It matches the Rfam family "Bacterial small subunit ribosomal RNA", at positions 524 to 794 of the family's 1533-position model. The record is from RNAcentral.